Molecule: long non-coding RNA, 384 nt
Organism: Heterocephalus glaber (naked mole-rat)
Lineage: Eukaryota; Metazoa; Chordata; Mammalia; Rodentia; Bathyergidae
Source: Ensembl
CCAAUUCUAAAUGGAGGGGUGGUCUCCUCUCUCAGGAAUUACAGGGAUCGAACUCGGGUCUUUGAGCUUGCAAGGCAAGCGGCAGAACCACUAAGCCAAAUCCCUGGCCCUACUACCAAUCUUUUUAAAGGAAGCAUUAUUGAAAGAUGUUUGUACGAAAAUAUUUGAAAUGAAAAACUCUGGCCAAGCAAAACAGAUAAAACAAAUUAGAAUUGAAGAAAUUUUGGAGAUAGAAACUAACAACUCGUAGCUUUCAUUUUUGACUGACAACUAUGUAAAAACACUACACUGGACCUUUUGACUACAUCAUCCUACAUCUACACAAUUUCAAGAUCCAAUUCCAAAUUAGAGUCUUGUGGGAAAGUGAGAGAUUGUAAGAAGGCC